This is a long non-coding RNA of Monopterus albus (swamp eel), 867 nucleotides long. RefSeq lists it as uncharacterized. The transcript has 5 exons. NCBI's taxonomy places the organism in Eukaryota, Metazoa, Chordata, Actinopteri, Synbranchiformes, Synbranchidae. The record is from RefSeq and is a predicted model, not a curated record.
GACUUGCUUAUCGGAGAAUUUGCCAUGACUUAGCGGUAACUAGUCACCCGUCCCUCGUUGGCUCUGUAGUGUGGCUGUAGGCUACUUUAUCUAGCGUUAGCGAGAGUUUAAUGUUGGCAUGUAGCGUUAGCAAAACUCUGCUAGCAAGAAGCCUUUCGGGCUGAGGCGAGCAGGGCUUGUGCCCUAGCUCCGUGUGUGGUUAGCCUUCCCAUACUCUGUUUUGCUUUUGCAUGUUCAUUUUAACAAUGAGGUUAAUUAUCGAGACGUAAUUGCUUCUAGUUUUGCUAUGACUUGGAGGUAACAGUUACUAUCCCCUGUUGGCUCUGCAGUCUGUCAGCAUUAUCGACUAUAUCUGGACUUGAUUAAUGUUAGCACCCUCGUUUUAAAACACCCAGCAAGCUCACUGUUUAGAGAACACUGGUCUUUGACACGGACUUCUUUGUUGUAGUGGAGAAACCUUUCUAGCUAAAUGCAGGGGAAUUGUAUUGUGUACUAGUACUUGAUUACCUAUGUUCUCGCUGUAUUUUGGCAAUACCCACAACGAAGACCUGAGUACAUCAACUCCAGAACUUUGAGGCACAUGGCCCAGUGAAGAAGACAACCCAAAACAUUGUGGGCUCACACUACAAACAAUGCAGAUGGCUUAAUGGCGAUAAACCCAUCAGCAGUAUGGCUUUUUCUUGGGACUUGCAUGAAGUUUUUUUUGUCAAAAUGAUGCCAAUUUGGAACUUUGCAGUGCCCAUUUUGUGCAUAUGAAAGGCUGUUCACUGCCCAGGCAAUUAACCAGACAAUCAGCAUUCUUGAGGACAUACAGGCAAGUUUGUUUUUAAAUGACCAUUUAUUGAUAUCAAAGCUUUACAAAACUUU